CCCUUAGAUGUCCGGGGCCGCACGCGCGCUACACUGAAGGAAUCAGCGUGGCUUUCUCCCUGACCCGAAAGGGUUGGGAAACCCGUUGAAUCUCCUUCGUGAUAGGGAUUGGGGCUUGAAAUUGUUCCCCAUGAACGAGGAAUUCCCAGUAAGCGCGAGUCAUAAGCUCGCGUUGAUUACGUCCCUGCCCUUUGUACACACCGCCCGUCGCUACUACCGAUUGAACGGUUUAGUGAGGGCCUCUGAUUGGUCUCGGCCCGCUCUUUACCGGGCGGCGCCGUUGGUCGAGAAGACGCUCGAACUUGAUCGUUUAGAGGAAGUAAAAGUCGUAACA
Molecule: ribosomal RNA, 334 nt
Filed under: uncultured eukaryote
Lineage: Eukaryota
Description: partial 18S ribosomal RNA
Rfam family: Eukaryotic small subunit ribosomal RNA
Source: RNAcentral